GAUGAACGCUGGCGGCGUGCCUAAUACAUGCAAGUCGAGCGAACGGACGAGAAGCUUGCUCCUCUGAUGUUAGCGGCGGACGGGUGAGUAACACGUGGAUAACCUACCUAUAAGACUGGGAUAACUUCGGGAAACCGGAGCUAAUACCGGAUAAUAUUUUGAACCGCAUGGUUCAAAAGUGAAAGACGGUUUUGCUGUCACUUAUAGAUGGAUCCGCGCUGCAUUAGCUAGUUGGUAAGGUAACGGCUUACCAAGGCAACGAUGCAUAGCCGACCUGAGAGGGUGAUCGGCCACACUGGAACUGAGACACGGUCCAGACUCCUACGGGAGGCAGCAGUAGGGAAUCUUCCGCAAUGGGCGAAAGCCUGACGGAGCAACGCCGCGUGAGUGAUGAAGGUCUUCGGAUCGUAAAACUCUGCUAUUAGGGAAGAACAUAUGUGUAAGUAACUGUGCACGUCUUGACGGUACCUAAUCAGAAAGCCACGGCUAACUACGUG
This 497-nucleotide ribosomal RNA is filed under the name uncultured bacterium. Its description in RNAcentral is "partial 16S ribosomal RNA". It matches the Rfam family "Bacterial small subunit ribosomal RNA", at positions 28 to 507 of the family's 1533-position model. The record is from RNAcentral.